CUGUAAUAAAUACUUUCAGAUUCCCACUGCAUACAAUAUAGGUGAUACUAUAGGGUGUUUCAUAUGGGUAGGGGAAAAACUACAUGCCUGAGUUUUCAGAACUGUGCCUGGAGGAGAAGCCAUGCCGAGGUGUGACAGUUAUGGACUUGCAUGGACGCGGGAGUGGAUGACGCCUGGGAGGGCAUAAGAGAGCUGUACACACCCAGCCCCAGCUUGCACCUUCCCACUGCUAUACAGAUGAAGAGGCAGCAACUAACCAGGAAAUGAUGAGAAAUGCUGUCAAUACUCAGUAUGAGAAGUCGGAAUGGAGAGUCUGCUGACAUCCUGGCAAAAGUGCCACCACUGUUGUGGGUUUGUCCACUGCACGAAGUCCCUAUGCCUGCUGCACAUUGUUAACAGCACAUGCAGCAAGAUGUGCUGUGAUACUACACGAAUAAACACAGUUAUUUCCACAGGCUUUAAAAAAUAUUACAGCUUUUAAACCAAGGGGGAAAGCCUCCCCAGAAGCUCUGGUGUGAGCCUUCACCACAGGGCUGGAUAAUUCAUAGUUGGACUUCUCACAGAGGCUGCUCCUAACUUGGAGAGGAACACUUGCUGCCAGCACUUGUUCAAAAGCUGAAGCAAAAUGGACUUUGAAAACGGACAGGACUGCACCAUUAAGGGAUACAGUGAAAAUUAAAUAAUGAAACAUAGAUGUUUCUCCUCCAUGGCUCUGGGCAAGCGUGCACAGACCUAGGGGUAAGGGCCUAGUGAAAUAAUAAUGGCUGAACUGGUGCGCAUCUGAUGCCCAUUUUGAAUGUGAGCACGAUAGCCACAGUAACAGGAUGGACCUUUGUCUUCUAUCCCCAGACACUCCAUUCCAGUGGGUACAGUUCACCCUCAGGACCAAGUAGGAUAAGCAGCACAUCCCUCAGGACUUGUUCUCUGAGCUGGAUGAAAAUUGUAGGAGAGAGGCUGAAGAUGCUGAGCGGAAAGAAAUGGCAAGUUAAAUACCUGCUGCUGCUGUGAUGGGAGAGAAGUGCCCACACCAGCAGUACCCUCAGGCUCUACCUUCUGCUCUCUGGAAUACUUUCUGCAGCUGCAGGUGCUGAUGUGAGCAGCCUUCUCCUUCUGCCACCACUGAAGUUUGGCAAUGGACUUGGAGAUCUGGAGCUGAGGAGAGGUAAAAGACAGUAUCAAGUGCAGGAUCAAGCCCUGCAUGGCCACUCUGUCCUUACACAGCCUCUGAGCUGAGGAGAUGCACCACCUAUGAAAGAAUGCUGCUGGACAAUUGUGCCAAUAGCACCAAAGACACUGAAGGUAACAUGGGAGCCACAUCCCUCUGGCUGCAUGUUUGCUGCAUGACAAACCUCUUGGUAUGUCACAUGGCCCUUCACUCCCAAAUCAACUCUGCCCCAAUGAUGCAUCCUUUUCCAGAAGUCCUGCAAUAUCUUUAAAUUCUGUAGUCAUCCCUCUAGCACUGCCAGCUUAAUGCUGGCUCAUUAAGUGAAUUCCUAAGGCAUCUAAAGAAACAUUUGCUUACUACACCUCAGCCUAUUAGUCUGCAUUUUGUACAGCCCCUAAUACUUGGUGUCCUACAUGUGGUAGUCUCACUUGCUACGUACUACUUAGUUAUACUAAGAAUUCCAUAAUCCUGCAUUACCUGGAUUAGCUUGAACAGUUCAAGUUUUUGUCCUGCUAAGCUUAACUAGCCAUACUCACACUAGGCUCUAACCAGAAUCCAGCUAAUAGGACAUCCAACUCUCUCUUGCUCUCGGGGUGAAGUGGCAGUCCUCACCUUCCCUUGGAGGCUUUUUCACAGCCCUCCUAACAGUGGAGGGCUGCUCUCUGUCUUGCACUGACACCUCAUCCUUUUCCUGACCUUCACCCUGCCCUAAGCCCAUGUCCAACAUGAGCUCUGCCAGCAAAGGCAGUCUGCCUAGCACUGAGUCUUAGACAUUUCAGUCUUCAUGAGUUCCCAGUACACUCAAAAAAGGAGAAUUAUAUUUAAGCAUUUCUUAUGGAAGGAAGAAUUGACUCCAGUACAACUUAUUAACAGGGCCGGAGACUCCCUAAAAGAAAAACAAUUUUAAAACCUCUACAACAAACAUAACAAAAAUAUGCAUAUGCAACAAAUAGUAAAAUGAAAAAAGCCUCCCCAACUUUCCAGAUUUUCUUGGUACACUUUCUUGUCUAAAACUCAGCUCCAUAUUAUUGCUUCAUAGCUGUCACUAAAGCGUUUUAAUAGAAUAGCAACAAUUUUCAAAAUUCCAGAGCAGAAAUCACGAGGAAGAUGGGGUCCCCUUCCACAGUUUUGAUUUUAAAUUUUUUUAAGACUCAAUACUGUGGCCAGGAAUGAAAUAAAAUACAUGUGAGGGGACAGCAGAGAUAGAAAAAUGGAAGUUUACAAUUGACUUCUAAUUUAAUUUAAGAAGUGACUACGAAGAAAAAGAUGGCAUAUUUAUAUAUGUAUAUAUACAUAAUGUAUAUAUACAUACACACACAUACAUACACAAAUAUUCAGAGAUGGAAAUAGUAUUUCUGUAGAAUCUGAAAGAUUUAAAAUACAAGAGAAAUCAAAGUAAUAACACAUGACAGUAUAAAAACUCCAAUAAUAUACUUAAUUGCAAUUCUCAUUCCAUAAUUUAACAGUUCUAAAUCUGCUUGCAUGAAUCCACAUAAGAUACACUGGAUACACUGGUAGUGAAAUGAAAAGAUUAAAAAGCAUGUUUACUCUUGCAUGUAUUGUGUGCAUAUAUAUAUAUAUAUAUAUAUAUAUAUAUAUAUAGUAAUUCCAAAAUGGCUUUUUUCACCACUUCUGAAAGACACAGAUUUCACUGCAGGUAUUGCAUCUUUAUAGUGCUGCACAUUAGGGCUAAGCUGAAAAAAUACAAAUCGUGCAGCUGGUCAGAGACCAAUACCGCAAAAUCAGGUGAAGUUCAAUAAUUAAUGAUGAGAUUCUCAAAACUAUCUGAUAAAUUUGGAGUACAAGUUCCAAAGUCACACCACUGUUUCUGAUAACCCAUCUCUAAAAUGCUUGGUUUUGCUGUGUUUCUUCUUUUCCAUAUUACCAUGCAGCCACUUUUAUAUACCAAAUGGCAUACUAUUAGCAUAAGGGUUUUUUCUAAUGUGUAAUUCCUAAAGAGCACCACGAAAAUAAAAACAUCCAAACUUAAAUUGAAUUGGAAUUGUAUUUAUUUCGCCUCUUGAACUUUAUAACAUUCACUACUACUUACAUAUCUGAAAUAGAAUUCUGUUUCACACAGCUUCUGUAUCUACAAGUGUGGAAACCACAUACAGUUUUGCAUUCAGAAAAAAUCUGCUCAAUGAGCAGUCUGCAAAGAACUAACAGUUCACGGUAACUCCUUCUUAUCUGACUCUCAAUAUUAACCCUCUGCCAAGAAACUUAACACAACUCCAAAGGAAAGGGCAUGAGUUUCACAUAUAAAAUUAUAUUUAAUCAUUUGUGCAGAUGUUUGGUCUAUAGAUGAAAACAAUUUCAGGGUAAAUACUCA
Long non-coding RNA from Passer domesticus (house sparrow), 3494 nucleotides. RefSeq lists it as uncharacterized. NCBI's taxonomy places the organism in Eukaryota, Metazoa, Chordata, Aves, Passeriformes, Passeridae. The record is from RefSeq and is a predicted model, not a curated record. The transcript is spliced from 2 exons.